RNAcentral lists this long non-coding RNA (3839 nucleotides) under Homo sapiens (human). RNAcentral's name for it is "HSALNT0213751". The record is from RNAcentral. Lineage: Eukaryota; Metazoa; Chordata; Mammalia; Primates; Hominidae.
GGAAAAGAGAAUCCAGGUGCUACAGCCCAAAGAAAAAGAAAGAGACUGUCCGGGCGUGGUGGCUCACACCUGUAUUCCCAGCACUUUGGGAGGCCAAGGCGGGUGGAUCACUUGAGGUCAGGAAUUCCAGACCAACCUGACCAACAUGGUGAAACCCCGUCUCCACUAAAAAUACAAAAAUUAGCUGUGUGUGGUGGCGGGCGCCUGUAGAACCAGCUGUUCGGGAACCUGAGGCUGGAGAAUCCCUUGAACCCGGGAGCCGGAGGUUGCAGAGAGCAGAGAUCACGCCGUUGCACUCCAGGCUGGGCGACAGCAAGACUCCAUCUCAAAAAAAGCUCUCCGUGCAUCACUAAUGUAAGGAUAGACUUUGAAUGACUGUCUUGGAGACAUCUAUGGGAUAAAAGAGAAGCAUGGGCUCUGGAAUCUGAAGAUUCUAUUCCAUUUCUGCCUCUGUGUUGUGGCUGUGUGAUGCUGGCAAAUUACAGACCUCAAGUUGAAAUAAUGAGCAUCAUAAUUACCCAUGCCCUGCCUUCCUUAAACUGCCCCCAUCCCCAAACUUCUACGAGGGCUCACAAAGAAGCUGCUUCACUCACCCAGUCGCUGCCCUGCAUCCCUGUCCAGAACUCUGCCUGCACCCUGCCCCACCCUCCCAACUCUCUCCUGCCACGUCUGCAGCUCUGCAGGCAGAGAGGGAUAAUUCCAAACCGCAGCAAUGGACAGGGACUCCGGGCAGCAACUCAAGGGCACAGUAACAAUAAUGGAUGUUAAGUGCUUAUUCGGGGACAAGUAGAUCGUAGCUGCUCCAUGAUUUAUUCCUGUCCCCUAUGAAUAUUCUCCAAGUAAAAUAAAAGGUUUAGAUCUGCGCUACCGCAUACAACAGUUACUUGUCCCAUGUGGCUGGUGCCAGUGAGGCAUGCUCUAAGUGUAAAACCCACACAGUCUCCAAAGACUUCACAGGAAAAGCAGAUGGACAAUAUUGUUUUAGUCCACGCAGGCUGCUAUAACAAAGUACCACAAACUGGGUAGCUUAUAAACAACAGAAAUUUAUUUCUCACAGUUCUAGAGGCUGGAAAGUCCAAGAUCAGGGCCCCUAGCAGAUUCUGUGCCUGACAAGGGCCCACUUUCUGUUUCACAGAUGGCACCUUUUCUUUCUAUCCUUACAUGGUAGAAGGGGUGAGGGAGUCUCUCUCAGUCCUCUUUUUUUUUUUUUUUGAAUCAGAGUCUCGCUCUGUUAUCCAGGCAGGAGUGCAGUGGUGAGUGGUGUGAUCAUGGCUCAUUGCAAUCUCCGCCUCCCUGAUUCAAGCAGCCAUUCUCCCACCUCGGCCUCCUGAGCUCAAGUGAUUCUCCUGCCUCAGACUCUUGAGUAGCUGGGAUUACAGGUACACACCACUAGGCCCGGCUAAUUUUUGUAUUUUUAGUAGAGAUGGGGUUUCACCAUGUUGGCCAGGCUGGUCUCAAACUCCUGACCUCAGGUGAUCCGCCCACCUCGGCCUCCCAAAGUGCUGCUAUUACAGGUGUGAGCCACCACACCUGGCCUCAGGCCUCUUUUUAAAAAAAAUUAUUUAUGUAUUUAUUUAUUUUCAUAGAGAUGUAGUUUUGCUAUGUUGCCCCGGCUGAUCUCCAACUGCUGGCCUCAAGUGAUCCUCCUGCCUUAGCCUCCUGAGUGCUAGGAUUACAGGCCUUUCCUAUAAGGGCUCUAACCCCAUUCUGAGGGCCCCACCCUCAUGACCUAAUCACCUCCCAAAGGCCCCACUUUCUAACACCAUCACUUUGGAGGUUAGGAUUUCAACAUAUAAAUUUUGAGGAGAAACAAACAUUCAGACCAUAGCAAGUACUUUCAUUAAUACUUUUUGUUUGAUUAUAUGUUCAGAUCAUAAUAGAUUUGAUAUAUUAGGUUAAGUAAAAAUAUAUUAUUAAAAUUAAUGUAGCUACUGAAAGUUUCAAAUUAUAUGUAUAACGUACAUUAUAUUUCUAUAGGAGGACAGUAUUGGUCUUUACACAGAUUUUAAGGUUCUGUCCUGCUAUGAGGUUCCAUGAUUCAAAUACGAGCAGUCUUAGAGGGGAAAAGAAGUUCCAGGCAAGCCUUGCACUUAGCCAUCCAAUCCUAGGGAAUUAUCCUACAGAAACACACAUGGGGAUCUGCACGAUGCGUGUAUGUUUGUAGUAUUGUUUGUAGCAUGAAGAAAAAGGCUGAAAACAAACUAAAUGUUCAACAGAAAGGAACUGGUUAAUAAAUGAUAGUACAUCCAUGGGACAUGUACAGGCAUUAAAAAGGCAAGAUAUUUCCCGUAAGAAUCACCUGAGACACUUAUUAAAAAUAUCAAUAUAGGCCAGGUAUGGUGGCUCAUGCUUGUAAUCCCAGCACUUUGGGAGGCCAAGCUCAGAGGAUCACUUAAAGCCAGGAGUCUGAAACCAGCCUGGGCAACAUAGCAAGACCCUGUCUCUACAAAAAAAUUAAAAACAGCCAGGUGUGGUGGCACAUGCCUGUAGUUUCAGCUACAUGGGAAGCUGAGGUGGGAGAAUCACUUGAGCCCGGGAGAUUGAGGCUGCAGUGAGCUACGAUUGUGCCCUUGAACUCCAGCCUUGGGAACAGAACAAGACCCUGUUUCUCUCUCUCUCUCUCUCUCUCUGUCUCUCUCUCUCUCUCCACACACACACACAAAGACUUCCCCAGGUGCCUCCCUGAGAAAUUCUCAUUCAGCAGGUUUGAAGUGAGACCUGUCAAUCUCAAUGUUUAAAAAGCACCCCUGAGAGAUUCUGAUUUCCAGACAAGUUUCCAGACACUAAAACAAUUGGUAAGUAUAUAUAACUGCAUGGAAAAAAUAUGCAAGAUAGUGUUUGGACUUAUAUUCUAUGAUGCAUUUUUGUUUAUAAAACAGGAUUGCAUAUGUAUGUUUGUGUGUAGAAAUACACACACUGAUGUAUAGAAAAGAUUUGGAAGGACAUAAGCCCAGCUGCUAUAGGUGAUUACCUCUUGGAAACGGGAAAAAAGAAAUGGGCUUUGCAUUUUUACUUGCAUACUUCAAUGUUUGUUUGUUUAUGCAUCACUUACAGGAGGGGGACAAGAACCCCCUCGUGAUUUCAUCAGUUCCCAAGUGUUUGGGGAGGGUGAGCAAUGGAGGAAGCCAGGGGUGAGGCAGUCAGCUGCGCUCACAGCCAUGGCGUCACACCCCAGGGACUGCCCAUUGUGAAGUCCCUUGGGGUGCCCCCUCCCUGCACUCUCAUUCUUCCCACUAGCCCCAGACGGGCUCUGCCAUCAACCUGCAGCUCCUCCUGAGCUGCGGCUCUUCCCGCUCUGCCCCCAACACAAGGAGAGCCCCGACUUGGGAGGAGGGCUUUUCAGAUCGCAGCUUGGCCUGAGGCAGAGCCAGAGCGAUGAGGUCACCCAGCACAGCUGCUAACUAUUUCAAGGAAACAGAACCGUGGUCUCAGCCCUGGCUGCAUAUUCCUUCAACGGGAGGGCUUUAGAAAUGCUGUGCCAGAGCUGCACCCCAGACCAACAAAAUCAGACUCUCCAGGAUGCGGCCAAGGCAUCAGUAUGUGGAAAGCUUUCAGGAAAACUGAGCAAAAUGAAAGCCAAUUCAAAGAAGAAGGAAUUAAGUACAUAAUUGUGCAGAUGAUACAUGGAAAUGGAAUAAGUCUGGAGGGCAGCAAGAGUGACUGUCCAGCUAAGAACCUCAUCAGCAAUACAAAACAUUGUCACAGAUGUUGAAACAGACCCUGAGGUUAAUGCAUUCUUUCCAACAUUAGGUCCUAAAACUUCUCCUGAAAAGCUACCUUAAAUCUAACUUUUGAAAGUGCACAAUAAAGGUGAAUUAAAUAAAAGCAACUUGAAAUUU